RNAcentral lists this unclassified non-coding RNA (330 nucleotides) under soil metagenome. RNAcentral describes it as "partial contains 5.8S ribosomal RNA, internal transcribed spacer 2, and large subunit ribosomal RNA". The stretch from base 1 to 120 matches the Rfam family "5.8S ribosomal RNA", at positions 35 to 154 of the family's 154-position model. The record is from RNAcentral.
GAUGAAGAACGUAGCGAAAUGCGAUAAGUAAUGUGAAUUGCAGAAUUCAGUGAAUCAUCGAAUCUUUGAACGCACAUUGCGCCCCUUGGUAUUCCGGGGGGCAUGCCUGUUCGAGCGUCAUUUCACCACUCAAGCCUCGCUUGGUAUUGGGCAACGCGGUCCGCCGCGUGCCUCAAAUCGACCGGCUGGGUCUUCUGUCCCCUAAGCGUUGUGGAAACUAUUCGCUAAAGGGUGUUCGGGAGGCUACGCCGUAAAACAACCCCAUUUCUAAGGUUGACCUCGGAUCAGGUAGGGAUACCCGCUGAACUUAAGCAUAUCAAUAGCGGAGGA